Molecule: ribosomal RNA, 253 nt
Filed under: uncultured bacterium
Lineage: Bacteria
Description: partial 16S ribosomal RNA
Rfam family: Bacterial small subunit ribosomal RNA
Source: RNAcentral
UACAGAGGUCUCAAGCGUUGUUCGGAAUUAUUGGGCGUAAAGGGCGCGUAGGCGGCCAUGCGUGUCUUCCGUGAAAUCCCUCGGCUUAACUGAGGACGUGCGGAAGAAACUGCAAGGCUCGAGUCCGGGAGAGGGGGGUGGAAUUCCCAGUGUAGCGGUGAAAUGCGUAGAUAUUGGGAGGAACACCGGUGGCGAAGGCGGCCCCCUGGACCGGUACUGACGCUGAGGCGCGAAAGCGUGGGUAGCAAACGGG